AGAUGUGAGGGCCAUCUGGCUGUGACAUCUGUCACCCCAUUGAUCGUCAGGGUUCACUGGGCUGGGGGUGAUUGCCAGGGUUGAUCUGGCUAACCUGGCUCACUAGGCAGAUGUUCCUUUCCUCCCUCACCACUCCAUGUGUGUCCCUCCCAAAACUGUGCUUGGUCCAAGAGGACGACCAUCCCCGAUAGAGGAGGGCCGGUUUUCGGUCACGGGUAAAUGAGUAGCCGCGCUCCCCUGCUAGAACUUGCAAACAAGCUCUCAAGAAUGUGCAAAAUCGGAAACUCAUACACCGCAGGUUGCUGGAAGGAAUAUAAAAUACUGCGAAAACUUUAAAAAGCAUUUUGGCAGUUU
Molecule: unclassified non-coding RNA, 354 nt
Organism: Macaca nemestrina (pig-tailed macaque)
Lineage: Eukaryota; Metazoa; Chordata; Mammalia; Primates; Cercopithecidae
Gene: 7SK
Rfam family: 7SK RNA
About the family: 7SK was discovered as an abundant small nuclear RNA in the mid-70s but a possible function has only recently been suggested.
Source: Ensembl